UACAGAGGGUGCGAGCGUUGUCCGGAAUCACUGGGCGUAAAGGGCGCGUAGGUGGCGACCCAAGUCCAUGGUGAAAGCUCGAUGCUCAACAUCGAGUCGGCCACGGAUACUGGGUUGCUGGAGCACUGUAGAGGCAGAUGGAAUUCCGGGUGGUAGCGGUGGAAUGCGUAGAGAUCCGGAAAGAACACCGGUGGCGAAGGCGGCAUCCUGGACCGGUAUUGACGCUGAGGCGCGAAAGCUAGGGGAGCAAACGGG
Molecule: ribosomal RNA, 255 nt
Filed under: uncultured bacterium
Lineage: Bacteria
Description: partial 16S ribosomal RNA
Rfam family: Bacterial small subunit ribosomal RNA
Source: RNAcentral